RNAcentral lists this ribosomal RNA (492 nucleotides) under uncultured bacterium. Its description in RNAcentral is "partial 16S ribosomal RNA". It matches the Rfam family "Bacterial small subunit ribosomal RNA", at positions 29 to 507 of the family's 1533-position model. The record is from RNAcentral.
AGUGAACGCUGGCGGUAGGCCUAACACAUGCAAGUCGAACGGCAGCACAGUAAGAGCUUGCUCUUACGGGUGGCGAGUGGCGGACGGGUGAGGAAUACAUCGGAAUCUACUUUUUCGUGGGGGAUAACGUAGGGAAACUUACGCUAAUACCGCAUACGACCUACGGGUGAAAGCAGGGGAUCUUUGGACCUUGCGCGAGUGAAUGAGCCGAUGUCGGAUUAGCUAGGUGGCGGGGUAAAGGCGCACCAAGGCGACGAUCCGUAGCUGGUCUGAGAGGAUGUUCAGCCACACUGGAACUGAGACACGGUCCAGAGUCCUACGGGAGGCAGCAGUGCGGAAUAUUGGACGAUGGGCGCAAUCCUGCUCCAGCCAUACCGCGUGGGUGAAGAAGGCCCUCGGGUUGUAAAGCCCUUUUGUUGUGAUAGAAAAGCAGCAGGUUAAUCCCCCGCUUUUCUGACGGUACCCAGAUAAUAAGCACCGGCUAACUUCGUG